Molecule: transfer RNA, 72 nt
Filed under: Camelus bactrianus (Bactrian camel)
Lineage: Eukaryota; Metazoa; Chordata; Mammalia; Artiodactyla; Camelidae
Also listed under: 2 other names
Rfam family: tRNA
About the family: Transfer RNA (tRNA) molecules are approximately 80 nucleotides in length. Their secondary structure includes four short double-helical elements and three loops (D, anti-codon, and T loops).
Source: Rfam by way of RNAcentral
GAGGGUAAAACUCAGUGGUGGAGCAUUUGCUUAGAAUGUAGGAGGUCCUGGGUUCAAUCCCCAGGACCUCCA